AUUGAACGCUGGCGGCAGGCCUAACACAUGCAAGUCGAACGGUAACAGGAAGCAGCUUGCUGCUUUGCUGACGAGUGGCGGACGGGUGAGUAAUGUCUGGGAAACUGCCUGAUGGAGGGGGAUAACUACUGGAAACGGUAGCUAAUACCGCAUAACGUCGCAAGACCAAAGAGGGGGACCUUCGGGCCUCUUGCCAUCGGAUGCGCCCAGAUGGGAUUAGCUAGUAGGUGGGGUAACGGCUCACCUAGGCGACGAUCCCUAGCUGGUCUGAGAGGAUGACCAGCCACACUGGAACUGAGACACGGUCCAGACUCCUACGGGAGGCAGCAGUGGGGAAUAUUGCACAAUGGGCGCAAGCCUGAUGCAGCCAUGCCGCGUGUAUGAAGAAGGCCUUCGGGUUGUAAAGUACUUUCAGCGGGGAGGAAGGGAGUAAAGUUAAUACCUUUGCUCAUUGACGUUACCCGCAGAAGAAGCACCGGCUAACUCCGUG
Molecule: ribosomal RNA, 490 nt
Filed under: uncultured bacterium
Lineage: Bacteria
Description: partial 16S ribosomal RNA
Rfam family: Bacterial small subunit ribosomal RNA
Source: RNAcentral